Molecule: ribosomal RNA, 445 nt
Filed under: uncultured bacterium
Lineage: Bacteria
Description: bacterial SSU rRNA
Rfam family: Bacterial small subunit ribosomal RNA
Source: RNAcentral
GCCCAGACUCCUACGGGAGGCAGCAGUGGGGAAUAUUGCACAAUGGGGGGAACCCUGAUGCAGCGAUGCCGCGUGGAGGAAGAAGGUUUUCGGAUUGUAAACUCCUUUUAUCAGGGACGAUAAUGACGGUACCUGAAGAAAAAGCAUCGGCUAACUCCGUGCCAGCAGCCGCGGUAAUACGGAGGAUGCGAGCGUUAUCCGGAUUUAUUGGGUUUAAAGGGUGCGUAGGCGGAAUGCCAAGUCAGCGGUAAAAUCGCGGGGCUCACCCUCGCUCCGCCGUUGAAACUGGCGUUCUUGAGUGGGCGAGAAGUGUGCGGAAUGCGUGGUGUAGCGGUGAAAUGUAUAGAUAUCACGCAGAACUCCGAUUGCGAAGGCAGCAUACCGGCGCCCAACUGACGCUGAAGCACGAAAGCGUGGGUAUCGAACAGGAUUAGAUACCCUCGUA